Molecule: ribosomal RNA, 626 nt
Filed under: Coleoptera sp. NZAC 03012408
Lineage: Eukaryota; Metazoa; Arthropoda; Insecta; Coleoptera
Description: eukaryotic LSU rRNA
Rfam family: Eukaryotic large subunit ribosomal RNA
Source: RNAcentral
UACGUGAAACCGUUCAGGGGUAAACCUGUGAAAUCCAAAAGGUCGAAAGAGGAGAUUCAUUCGUGUAUCGAUCGCCGAAGUCGUACGGGGUAAUUGUGCGACAAACAUCGAUUUAUCGUAGUUUGCGCCACCUGUACGAAUUUAUCGGUAUCGAACGCGUGCACUUCUCCUCUAGUAGAACGUCGCGAUCCGUUGAGUGUCGGUCUACGGACCGAAGCGUAGCCCGAAAACGACGGUUUACCGUUGUUUUCGGACGCUCGUUAUCCGACCGACUCGCUCGACGGUAUGCCAAAGAUACUAGGUCGCAAAUUUAAUUUGCGUUCGAUUUUCGACAAGCUCGUAUAACGUAUCGAUGAUCGGACUUAUGCGCCGGUCGCGACGUUGUGCGGCUGUUAGUCGUAAUAUUCUCGAACAGACCUAGUCGAAAUAUCGAUCGGCGACGCUAUAGCUUUGGAUAAUUACAGGACCCGUCUUGAAACACGGACCAAGGAGUCUAGCAUGUGCGCGAGUCAUUGGGAUUUAUUACUAAACCUAAAGGCGAAAUGAAAGUAAAAAUUCGUUUUAAGCGAAUUUAGGGAAGAUAAAUGGAAACGUUUUGCGACGUUCCGUUUCGCAUUCCCGGGGCG